CUUUACUGUAGCCUGGUAUUGGGUUCGGGCUUUGACUGCGCAGGAUAGGUGGGAGACAGAGAAGUGUGCCUUGUGGGGAACAUGGAGUCAACGGUGAGAUACCACUCUGUCAGAGCUAGAAUUCUAACCUUCACCCGUAAUCCGGGGAAGGAACCGUAUCAGGUGGGCAGUUUGACUGGGGCGGUCGCCUCCUAAAAGGUAACGGAGGCGCGCAAAGGUGUUCUCAGGCUGGUUGGAAAUCAGCCGUAGAGUGUAAAGGCAGAAGAACGCUUGACUGUGAGAGUGACAACUCAAGCAGGGUGGAAACACGGCCUUAGUGGUCCGACGGUAUGCGCGUGGAAGUGCCGUCGCUCAACGGAUAAAAGUUA
This 368-nucleotide ribosomal RNA is filed under the name uncultured organism. Its description in RNAcentral is "bacterial LSU rRNA". It matches the Rfam family "Bacterial large subunit ribosomal RNA", at positions 2099 to 2465 of the family's 2925-position model. The record is from RNAcentral.